RNAcentral lists this ribosomal RNA (465 nucleotides) under Vreelandella stevensii. Its description in RNAcentral is "partial 16S ribosomal RNA". It matches the Rfam family "Bacterial small subunit ribosomal RNA", at positions 338 to 795 of the family's 1533-position model. The record is from RNAcentral. Lineage: Bacteria; Pseudomonadati; Pseudomonadota; Gammaproteobacteria; Oceanospirillales; Halomonadaceae.
CCUACGGUGUGCUGCAGUGGGGAAUAUUGGACAAUGGGCGAAAGCCUGAUCCAGCCAUGCCGUGUGUGUGAAGAAGGCCUUCGGGUUGUAAAGCACUUUCAGUGGGGAAGAAAGCCUUGGGGCUAAUACCCUCGAGGAAGGACAUCACCCACAGAAGAAGCACCGGCUAACUCCGUGCCAGCAGCCGCGGUAAUACGGAGGGUGCGAGCGUUAAUCGGAAUUACUGGGCGUAAAGCGCGCGUAGGCGGUCUGAUAAGCCGGUUGUGAAAGCCCCGGGCUCAACCUGGGAACGGCAUCCGGAACUGUCAGGCUAGAGUGCAGGAGAGGAAGGUAGAAUUCCCGGUGUAGCGGUGAAAUGCGUAGAGAUCGGGAGGAAUACCAGUGGCGAAGGCGGCCUUCUGGACUGACACUGACGCUGAGGUGCGAAAGCGUGGGUAGCAAACAGGAUUAGAUACCCGUGUAGUC